AGCUGCGCGGUGAGCACAGAGCGAACUAUUCUUUCGCCUUUUACUAAAGAAUACCGUGUGCGCGCCGCACGUAGCAGCAUACGCCUAUUUUUGGAGGGUGCUCCCCCUUACCGUGAGGGCC
This 121-nucleotide small nuclear RNA is filed under the name Setaria italica (foxtail millet). RNAcentral describes it as "snRNA U5". It matches the Rfam family "U5 spliceosomal RNA". From Rfam's summary of the family: U5 RNA is a component of both types of known spliceosome. The precise function of this molecule is unknown, though it is known that the 5' loop is required for splice site selection and p220 binding, and that both the 3' stem-loop and the Sm site are important for Sm protein binding and cap methylation. The record is from Rfam by way of RNAcentral. Lineage: Eukaryota; Viridiplantae; Streptophyta; Magnoliopsida; Poales; Poaceae.